RNAcentral lists this ribosomal RNA (421 nucleotides) under uncultured bacterium. Its description in RNAcentral is "bacterial SSU rRNA". It matches the Rfam family "Bacterial small subunit ribosomal RNA", at positions 362 to 775 of the family's 1533-position model. The record is from RNAcentral.
UAUUGGACCAUGGGCGCAAGCCUGAUCCAGCCAUGCCGCGUGGGUGAAGAAGGCCUUCGGGUUGUAAAGCCCUUUUGUUGGGAAAGAAAAGCAGUCGGUUAAUACCCGAUUGUUCUUACGGUACCCACAGAAUAAGCACCGGCUAACUUCGUGCCAGCAGCCGCGGUAAUACGAAGGGUGCAAGCGUUACUCGGAAUUACUGGGCGUAAAGCGUGCGUAGGUGGUUGUUUAAGUCCGUUGUGAAAGCCCUGGGCUCAACCUGGGAAUUGCAGUGGAUACUGGGCAACUAGAGUGUGGUAGAGGAUGGCGGAAUUCCCGGUGUAGCAGUGAAAUGCGUAGAGAUCGGGAGGAACAUCCGUGGCGAAGGCGGCCAUCUGGACCAACACUGACACUGAGGCACGAAAGCGUGGGGAGCAAACAG